CAGCCGCCGCGGGAAAACGAAGGGUGCAAGCGUUACUCGGAAUUACUGGGCGUAAAGCGUGCGUAGGUGGUGGUUUAAGUCCGUUGUGAAAGCCCUGGGCUCAACCUGGGAAUUGCAGUGGAUACUGGGUCACUAGAGUGUGGUAGAGGAUAGUGGAAUUUCCGGUGUAGCAGUGAAAUGCGUAGAGAUCGGAAGGAACAUCUGUGGCGAAGGCGACUAUCUGGGCCAACACUGACACUGAGGCACGAAAGCGUGGGGAGCAAACAGGAUUAGAUACCCGUGUAGUCCCUGUCUCUUAUAA
This 301-nucleotide ribosomal RNA is filed under the name uncultured bacterium. RNAcentral's name for it is "partial 16S ribosomal RNA". It matches the Rfam family "Bacterial small subunit ribosomal RNA", at positions 509 to 809 of the family's 1533-position model. The record is from RNAcentral.